Unclassified non-coding RNA from Cercocebus atys (sooty mangabey), 293 nucleotides. It matches the Rfam family "Metazoan signal recognition particle RNA". From Rfam's summary of the family: The signal recognition particle (SRP) is a universally conserved ribonucleoprotein. It is involved in the co-translational targeting of proteins to membranes. NCBI's taxonomy places the organism in Eukaryota, Metazoa, Chordata, Mammalia, Primates, Cercopithecidae. The record is from Ensembl.
GCCAGGUGGCAUGGUGGCUCACAGCUGUAGUCCUAGCUACUCGGGAGGUUGAGAAUCACUUGAACCCAGGAGUUCUGGGCUGUAGUGUGCUAUGUCCAUCAGGUGUCCAUACUAAGUUCAGCAUCAAUAUUCUGGGAGCAGAGGACCACUAGGUUGCCUAUGGAGGGGUGAACCACCCCAGGUCGGAAACAGCGUAGGUCAAAACUCGUGUGCUGAUCAGUAGUAGGAUCACACUUGUGAAGUGAAUAGCCACUGCACUCCAUCCUGGGCAACAUAGUGAGACUCCAUCUCAU